ACUUCAUGAUUUGGGCAUUGAGCUAGCUUACCAUUAAACCUCUCCCAAGCUUCAAACAAUGACUCUUCAUUUAUUUGUUGAAAAUUCACAAUCUUAUCCCGCUUUU
This is a non-coding RNA of Capsicum annuum, 106 nucleotides long. Lineage: Eukaryota; Viridiplantae; Streptophyta; Magnoliopsida; Solanales; Solanaceae. The record is from Rfam.